CCUUAGUAACGGCGAGUGAACCGGGAUGAGCUCAAAUUUAAAAUCUGGCGUCUUUCAGGCGUCCGAGUUGUAAUCUAUAGAGGCGUUUUCCGCGCCGGACCGCGUCCAAGUCUCUUGGAAUAGAGUAUCAAAGAGGGUGACAAUCCCGUACUUGACGCGACAACCGGUGCUCUGUGAUACGUUCUCAAUGAGUCGAGUUGUUUGGGAAUGCAGCUCUAAAUGGGUGGUAAAUUCCAUCUAAGGCUAAAUAUUGGCGAGAGACCGAUAGCGAACAAGUACCGUGAGGGAAAGAUGAAAAGCACUUUGGAAAGAGAGUUAAACAGCACGUGAAAUUGUUAAAAGGGAAACGAUUGAAGUCAGUCGUGUGAAAGGUAUUCAGCCGUCUCUGGCGGUGUAUUUGCCUUUCACGGGUCAACAUCAGUUUGAUCCGGUAGAAAAAGGCGGGAGGAAGGUGGCACCCUCGGGUGUGUUAUAGCCUCCUGUCAUAUGUGCCGGACCAGACUGAGGAACGCAGCUUGCCGCAAGGCCGGGGUUCGCCCACGUACAAGCUUAGGA
Molecule: ribosomal RNA, 555 nt
Filed under: Vishniacozyma victoriae
Lineage: Eukaryota; Fungi; Basidiomycota; Tremellomycetes; Tremellales; Bulleribasidiaceae
Description: partial large subunit ribosomal RNA
Rfam family: Eukaryotic large subunit ribosomal RNA
Source: RNAcentral